Molecule: ribosomal RNA, 406 nt
Filed under: uncultured bacterium
Lineage: Bacteria
Description: partial 16S ribosomal RNA
Rfam family: Bacterial small subunit ribosomal RNA
Source: RNAcentral
AUUGAACGCUGGCGGCAGGCCUAACACAUGCAAGUCGAACGAGCGGCGGACGGGUGAGUAAUGUAUGGAAAACUGCCUGAUGGAGGGGGAUAACUACUGGAAAAGGUAGCUAAUACCGCAUACCAUCUGAUGAACCAAGAUGGGAUUAGCUAGUUGGUGGGGUAACGUAUCACAAAGGCGACGAGCCCUAGCUGGUCUGAGAGGAUGACCAGCCACACUGGAACUGAGACACGGACCAGACUCCUACGGGAGGCGGGAGGGGGGAAUGUUGCACAAUGGGCGCAAGCCUGAUGCAGCCAUGCCGCGUGUAUGAAGAAGGCCUUCGGGUUGUAAAGUACUUUCAGCGGGGAAGCGUUACCCGAAGAAGAAGCACCGGCUAACUCCGUGCCAGCAGCCGCGGUAAUUC